Molecule: ribosomal RNA, 253 nt
Filed under: uncultured bacterium
Lineage: Bacteria
Description: partial 16S ribosomal RNA
Rfam family: Bacterial small subunit ribosomal RNA
Source: RNAcentral
UACGGGGGGGGCAAGCGUUGUUCGGAAUUACUGGGCGUAAAGGGUGCGUAGGCGGCUUUUUAAGUCGGAUGUGAAAACUCUGGGCUCAACCCAGAGACUGCAUCCGAAACUGGAGAGCUUGGGUUCUGGAGGGGAAAGCGGAACUCCUGGUGUAGCAGUGAAAUGCGUAGAUAUCAGGAGGAACACCGGUGGCGAAGGCGGCUUUCUGGACAGAUACCGACGCUGAGGCACGAAAGCUAGGGGAGCAAACAGG